CCUACGGGGGGCAGCAGUGAGGAAUAUUGGUCAAUGGACGAGAGUCUGAACCAGCCAAGUAGCGUGAAGGAUGAAUGCCCUAUGGGUCGUAAACCUCUUUUAUAAAGGAAUAAAACGAGGCACGUGUGCCUUUUUGCAUGUACCUUAUGAAUAAGGAUCGGCUAACUCCGUGCCAGCAGCCGCGGUAAUACGGAGGAUCCGAGCGUUAUCCGGAUUUAUUGGGUUUAAAGGGAGCGUAGAUGGGUUGUUAAGUCAGUGGUGAAAGUUUGCGGCUCAACCGUAGAAUUGCAGUUGAUACUGGCAGGCUUGAGUACAGUUGAGGUAGGCGGAAUGCGUGGUGUAGCGGUGAAAUGCAUAGAUAUCACGAAGAACCCCGAUUGCGAAGGCAGCUUGCUAAACUAUGACUGACAUUGAUGCACGAAAGUGUGGGUAUCGAACAGGAUUAGAUACCCGGGUAGUC
RNAcentral lists this ribosomal RNA (460 nucleotides) under uncultured bacterium. RNAcentral's name for it is "partial 16S ribosomal RNA". It matches the Rfam family "Bacterial small subunit ribosomal RNA", at positions 338 to 795 of the family's 1533-position model. The record is from RNAcentral.